UUGCUGGUACCCAAACGGUGUUAGCAUUUUUUGUCUUGGGCAUUUGAGUAUGGCUCACGUGUAUUUAUUGGACAGAUCUGAGUGUAAGUUACGGUCGCAUGCGACACGUGCUUUUCAAUUAGUUCGGUCCAGUUAAUGCUCUCGUACUCGUUCCCCAUGUAAAAGCCGGAAUGGGUACAAUUUAAACCCUUUAACGAGUAUCAAGCAGAGGGCAAGUCUGGUGCCAGCAGCCGCGGUAAUUCCAGCUCUGCAAAUACAUAGAAUUAUUGCUGCGGUUAGAAAGCUCAUAGUUGGAUUCGUAUCGAUACCUUGGAACCCUUCGGGUGUCUCUAGGUGUUAUCGAUUUAUCGUAAUGUUCGGUUUUGAGUCCUUAACAGGAUUCUUAACAGGCAUUGCAAGUUUACUUUGAACAAAUCAGAGUGCUUCAAACAGGCGUUUUCGCUUGAAUGAUCGUGCAUGGAAUAAUAGAAAAUGAUUUCGGUUCAGUUUUAUUGGUUUACGGACUGAGAUAAUGGUUAACAGAGACAAACGGGGGCAUUUGUAUUUUCCCGUGAGAGGUGAAAUUCUUGGACCGUGGCCAGACAAACUACAGCGAAAGCAUUUGCCAAGAAUGUUUUUAUUAAUCAAGAACGAAAGUCAGAGGUUCGAAGGCGAUCAGAUACCGCCCUAGUUCUGACCGUAAACGAUGCCAACUAGCGAUCCGCCGAUGGAAAUUAUAUUGCCUUGGUGGGGAGCUUCCCGGAAACGAAAGUCUUCCGGUUCCGGGGGAAGUAUGGUUGCAAAGCUGAAACUUAAAGGAAUUGACGGAAGGGCACCACCAGGAGUGGAGCCUGCGGCUUAAUUUGACUCAACACGGGGAAACUCACCCGGCCCGGACACUGUGAGGAUUGACAGAUUGAUAGCUUUUUCAUGAUUCAGUGGAUGGUGGUGCAUGGCCGUUCUUAGUUCGUGGAGUGAUUUGUCUGGUUUAUUCCGAUAACGAGCGAGACUCUAACCUACUAAAUAGUUGGUACAUACUCUUAGUGUAUACAGCUUCUUAGAGGGAUUUGCGGCGUUCAGCCGAAAGAAAUUGAGCAAUAACAGGUCUGUGAUGCCCUUAGAUGUCCGGGGCUGCACGCGCGCUACACUGGCAAAAUCAACGUGCUUGUCCUACCCUGAAAGGGCGGGUAAACCAUUGAAAAUUUGCCGUGAUUGGAUCGGAAAUUGCAAUUAUUUUCCGUGAACGAGGAAUUCCAAGUAAGUGCGAGUCAUCAGCUCGCGUUGAUUACGUCCCUGCCCUUUGUACACACCGCCCGUCGCUGCCCGGGACUGAGCCAUUUCGAGAAAUUUGGGGACCGUUGAUUUAAUUUUUCUAAAUUACUUUGAUGGAAACCAAUUUAAUCGCAGUGGCUUGAACCGGGCAAAAGUCGUAACAAGGUAGCUGUAGGUGAACCUGCUGCUG
RNAcentral lists this ribosomal RNA (1441 nucleotides) under Meloidogyne arenaria. RNAcentral's name for it is "SSU rRNA". It matches the Rfam family "Eukaryotic small subunit ribosomal RNA". Lineage: Eukaryota; Metazoa; Nematoda; Chromadorea; Rhabditida; Meloidogynidae. The record is from RNAcentral.